RNAcentral lists this non-coding RNA (27 nucleotides) under Homo sapiens (human). The record is from RNAcentral. Lineage: Eukaryota; Metazoa; Chordata; Mammalia; Primates; Hominidae.
UGAGGAUUAACUGGUGCUAAUCCAUGU